Molecule: ribosomal RNA, 414 nt
Filed under: uncultured Glomeromycotina
Lineage: Eukaryota; Fungi; Glomeromycota
Description: SSU rRNA
Rfam family: Eukaryotic small subunit ribosomal RNA
Source: RNAcentral
GUACUGGCUUUACUGAUUCCUCCUUCUUGACGAACCGUGAUGUCAUUAAUUUGGUGUUGCGGGAAAUCAGGACUGUUACUUUGAAAAAAUUAGAGUGUUUAAAGCAGGCUAACGCUUGAAUACAUUAGCAUGGAAUAAUGAAAUAGGACGUUAAUCCUAUUUUGUUGGUUUCUAGGAUCGACGUAAUGAUUAAUAGGGAUAGUUGGGGGCAUUAGUAUUCAAUUGUCAGAGGUGAAAUUCUUGGAUUUAUUGAAGACUAACUACUGCGAAAGCAUUUGCCAAGGAUGUUUUCAUUAAUCAAGAACGAAAGUUAGGGGAUCGAAGACGAUCAGAUACCGUCGUAGUCUUAACCAUAAACUAUGCCAACUAGGGAUCGGAUGAUGUUAUUUUUAAUGACUCAUUCGGCGCCUUACG